Long non-coding RNA from Anguilla rostrata (American eel), 1075 nucleotides. RefSeq lists it as uncharacterized. Lineage: Eukaryota; Metazoa; Chordata; Actinopteri; Anguilliformes; Anguillidae. The record is from RefSeq and is a predicted model, not a curated record. The transcript is spliced from 3 exons.
UAAAAGGUGAAUACACAGUAAAAUGUUCGGUAUUAAAUCAACCAGGCCUAUAUGGUCCCCAUUGCACUCUUAUGUAGGCUACUCUGUUGAAUUAACACUGGAUAUUUCACUGUGUAGCUAGCAACGCAUGAUUUGCAACAAGCUUUAGCCCAUUUGUGUGCGGCCUGCUUACAGCUCGAAAACGUCAUCAAGCGGCAACAAACAAAAACAAAUUUGAUAUUUAAAAAAAAGAAUAGACUAACGAACACACAGUAAUACAGGAACACGACAACGAGAGCUCCUCCUGACAACCAAAAGAGUAGAAAACCAAAAAUAAGGAAAAACGAUAAUUUCCGGGGGUUUUUUUACACGCCGUAGACAGAACGCCCGAGUAAAGGCUCCAAACAGACUGACAGCAAACAGUCAACGGCAACAGCAAUUGCUUCGUGGACAGCGAAUCGGAAUUUCCAGGUUGCAACAAAGUCAGGCUCAGCUCCAUUUAGCCUGGGGCACUUAACAGGAUGUGUGGUACAGUACAGGGCACUACUGCUGAUGGUCCAGGCCAGCCUUAAUUUUGGGAGAAGCCAUUCAAAUCAGGAUGUGCUUCAAUGAGGCCAAGGAGGCAGGAAAUAUACUACCCUGGGGCACUGAGACACCAAGGUACUGCUAGCGGGUCAUCAAGGUGAUCCCUCACCAGUAUGACAGCCAAGGUCACCCGAGGCCAAGGCGAUACUUCAAACCAUAUGAGACAUGAUGACUUCAGGAUUUACGGUGCUCUCGAUCACAGAAAAUUCAUGUAACAGCCAUGACCCUGAGCCACAAAGUGGGGAAAAAUAAGAAAUCUGUAAUCAGAGACCUGGACCAGAAUACAGAUCUGAGCUCAAGCUGGUUCACAGGAAACAGGUGAGUACACUCAGAGCAGAUCAUGGAGAUCAGAGCGUUUCGUUCUGUACACCACACCUGACUGACUGCCCUCUUUAUUGCCUUGGACUGCACAAUCACUUUGAAAAACAGUCUCUGCCGUCCAGGCAGGCUGUGAGAUGUGACUGGAACAGAUUAACGAUGCUCCAGCAGGGGUUGCCUGAUUGAUGUCUUG